RNAcentral lists this ribosomal RNA (465 nucleotides) under uncultured bacterium. Its description in RNAcentral is "partial 16S ribosomal RNA". It matches the Rfam family "Bacterial small subunit ribosomal RNA", at positions 28 to 507 of the family's 1533-position model. The record is from RNAcentral.
GACGAACGCUGGCGGCGUGCUUAACACAUGCAAGUCGAACGGAAAGGCCCCUUUGGGGGUACUCGAGUGGCGAACGGGUGAGUAACACGUGAGUAACCUGCCCUUGACUUCGGGAUAACUUCAGGAAACUGGGGCUAAUACCGGAUAGGAAUCCUUGCUGCAUGGUGGGGGUUGGAAAGCUUCGGCGGUUUUGGAUGGACUCGCGGCUUAUCAGCUUGGUGGUGGGGUAGUGGCUUAACAAGGCUUUGACGGGUAGCCGGCCUGAGAGGGCGACCGGCCACAUUGGGACUGAGAUACGGCCCAGACUCCUACGGGAGGCAGCAGUGGGGAAGAUUGCACAAUGGGCGGAAGCCUGAUGCAGCAACGCCGCGUGCGGGAUGACGGCCUUCGGGUUGUAAACCGCUUUCAGCAGGGGCGAAGCUUGUGGUGACGGUACCUGCAGAAGAAGCACCGGCUAACUACGUG